This 468-nucleotide ribosomal RNA is filed under the name uncultured bacterium. RNAcentral describes it as "partial 16S ribosomal RNA". It matches the Rfam family "Bacterial small subunit ribosomal RNA", at positions 28 to 507 of the family's 1533-position model. The record is from RNAcentral.
GACGAACGCUGGCGGCGUGCUUAACACAUGCAAGUCGAACGGAAAGGCCCUGCUUUUGUGGGGUGCUCGAGUGGCGAACGGGUGAGUAACACGUGAGUAACCUGCCCUUGACUUUGGGAUAACUUCAGGAAACUGGGGCUAAUACCGGAUAGGAGCUCCUGCUGCAUGGUGGGGGUUGGAAAGUUUCGGCGGUUGGGGAUGGACUCGCGGCUUAUCAGCUUGUUGGUGGGGUAGUGGCUUACCAAGGCUUUGACGGGUAGCCGGCCUGAGAGGGUGACCGGCCACAUUGGGACUGAGAGACGGACCAGAAUCCUACGGGAGGCAGCAGUGGGGAAUAUUGCACAAUGGGCGGAAGCCUGAUGCAGCAACGCCGCGUGCGGGAUGACGGCCUUCGGGGUGUAAACAGCUUUCGCCUGUGACGAAGCGUGAGUGACGGUAAUGGGUAAAGAAGCACCGGCUAACUACGUG